GUCUUCCACAGCACAUAUACUAAAAUUGGAAUAAUACAGAGAACAUUAGCAUAGCCCCUGCACAAGGAUGAGACUCAGCUCUGUAAAGCGUUACAUAUUUUU
Small nuclear RNA from Protopterus annectens (West African lungfish), 102 nucleotides. The record is from RefSeq and is a predicted model, not a curated record. Lineage: Eukaryota; Metazoa; Chordata; Ceratodontiformes; Protopteridae.